This 253-nucleotide ribosomal RNA is filed under the name uncultured bacterium. RNAcentral describes it as "partial 16S ribosomal RNA". It matches the Rfam family "Bacterial small subunit ribosomal RNA", at positions 524 to 776 of the family's 1533-position model. The record is from RNAcentral.
UACGUAGGGUGCAAGCGUUGUCCGGAAUUAUUGGGCGUAAAGAGCUCGUAGGCGGUUUGUCGCGUCUGCUGUGAAAACCCGAGGCUCAACCUCGGGCCUGCAGUGGGUACGGGCAGACUAGAGUGCGGUAGGGGAGAUUGGAAUUCUUGGUGUAGCGGUGGAAUGCGCAGAUAUCAGGAGGAACACCAAUGGCGAAGGCAGAUCUCUGGGCCGUAACUGACGCUGAGGAGCGAAAGCGUGGGGAGCAAACAGG